Molecule: small nuclear RNA, 78 nt
Filed under: Pelagodinium bei
Lineage: Eukaryota; Dinophyceae; Suessiales; Suessiaceae
Description: Pelagodinium beii partial Dictyostelium signal recognition particle
Source: RNAcentral
UGCUGGAGCCUGAUAGCCAUGAUAGAGCCAUGGUACAGGCAGGCAAUCCUGACAUAGACAUGCCCUUCGGGCGGAGAG